RNAcentral lists this ribosomal RNA (368 nucleotides) under uncultured organism. RNAcentral describes it as "bacterial SSU rRNA". It matches the Rfam family "Bacterial small subunit ribosomal RNA", at positions 526 to 896 of the family's 1533-position model. The record is from RNAcentral.
CGUAGGAGGCAAGCGUUGUCCGGAUUUAUUGGGUUUAAAGGGUGCGUAGGCGGUUCCAUAAGUCAGUGGUGAAAUACGGCAGCUCAACUGUCGAGGUGCCAUUGAUACUGCGGAACUUGAGUACUGAUGAGGUAGGCGGAAUUGACGGUGUAGCGGUGAAAUGCUUAGAUAUCGUCAAGAACACCGAUAGCGAAGGCAGCUUACCAAGCAGUAACUGACGCUGAGGCACGAAAGUGCGGGGAUCAAACAGGAUUAGAUACCCUGGUAGUCCGCACAGUAAACGAUGAUUACUCGAUGUUGGCGAUACACAGCCAGCGUCUUAGCGAAAGCGAUAAGUAAUCCACCCGGGGAGUACGCCCGCAAGGGUG